Molecule: unclassified non-coding RNA, 139 nt
Filed under: soil metagenome
Description: partial internal transcribed spacer 1
Source: RNAcentral
UAAUAAGUGUUUAUGGCACUUCUUAAAUCCAUAUCCACCUUGUGUGCAAUGUCAGCCGUUUUCUUUAUGAAAGCGGCCAAACAUCAACUUAUUUUUUAACUGACUGUCUGAAAACUAUUAUGAAUAAACAAUUCAAAUA